This 424-nucleotide ribosomal RNA is filed under the name uncultured bacterium. Its description in RNAcentral is "partial 16S ribosomal RNA". It matches the Rfam family "Bacterial small subunit ribosomal RNA", at positions 354 to 795 of the family's 1533-position model. The record is from RNAcentral.
GUGGGGAAUCUUAGACAAUGGGCGCAAGCCUGAUCUAGCCAUGCCGCGUGAGCGAUGAAGGCCUUAGGGUUGUAAAGCUCUUUCAGCUGGGAAGAUAAUGACGGUACCAGCAGAAGAAGCCCCGGCUAACUCCGUGCCAGCAGCCGCGGUAAUACGGAGGGGGCUAGCGUUGUUCGGAAUUACUGGGCGUAAAGCGCACGUAGGCGGAUCAGAAAGUCAGAGGUGAAAUCCCAGGGCUCAACCUUGGAACUGCCUUUGAAACUCCUGAUCUUGAGGUCGAGAGAGGUGAGUGGAAUUCCGAGUGUAGAGGUGAAAUUCGUAGAUAUUCGGAGGAACACCAGUGGCGAAGGCGGCUCACUGGCUCGAUACUGACGCUGAGGUGCGAAAGCGUGGGGAGCAAACAGGAUUAGAAACCCGAGUAGUC